RNAcentral lists this small RNA (595 nucleotides) under Pan troglodytes (chimpanzee). RNAcentral describes it as "retained intron". Lineage: Eukaryota; Metazoa; Chordata; Mammalia; Primates; Hominidae. The record is from RNAcentral.
AGCCCUGAGCACUUUGCUCUUGUUCCCCUGACUGAGAGCCAGGGCCCACCCCACAGUGGCAGUGGCAGCAGGACUAGUGGCUGCCGCCAAGCCGUGGUGGUCCAGGAGGACAGCCGCAAAGACAGACUCCCAUUGCCUUUGAGAGACACCAAGCUGCUCUCACCGCUCAGGGACACUCCUCCCCCACAAAGCUUGAUGGUGAAGAUCACCCUAGACCUGCUCUCUCGGAUACCCCAGCCUCCCGGGAAGGGGAGCCGCCAGAGGAAAGCAGAAGAUAAACAGCUGCCCGCAGGGAAGAAGCACAGCUCUGAGAAGAGGAGCUCAGACAGCUCAAGCAAGUUGGCCAAAAAGAGAAAGGGUGAAGCAGAAAGAGACUGUGAUAACAAGAAAAUCAGACUGGAGAAGGAAAUCAAAUCACAGUCGUCUUCUUCAUCCUCCCACAAAGAAUCUUCUAAAACAAAGUGAGUAUAGAGAUUAGCAACCACCUCAUGUACGGUGAUCAACACUUCUUGGGUCUUGACAUAGCAAAGAAAUUUUUCUUCUGCAGUAGAAUCAGUGGAUUAAUAAACUCAAGCUCAUUUGGACAAUGUAAUGA